RNAcentral lists this small RNA (53 nucleotides) under Flavobacterium sp. 102. RNAcentral's name for it is "Flavo-1 RNA". The record is from RNAcentral. Lineage: Bacteria; Pseudomonadati; Bacteroidota; Flavobacteriia; Flavobacteriales; Flavobacteriaceae.
UUCUAGCCCCGAUAGGAGCAAACUACCGUGUAGUGCGGAUAGCGGGAACAAUA